GCAUAUUUUAUUUCGGUAUUUGAGAAUAUCUAAAUUUUUGGCGAGAGCUUCAACUGGAAAUACAAAUCGAAUUGUCGAAACAUAGCCUGCGUAGCAAGGUUUUUUUAUGGGUAGGUCCCACCCUCGGCCUCCCCCAUAAAAUAGAGCCUGCUACGCAGGCUAGUCGAAACAAUACAAUGUUUACAUCCUAGUACUCGGGAAAGUCCUGCCUCGUCCCCAGACCAUAGGCGUUAUAAAAAGAUUUCACAUACGAGUCACAAUAUAAAAGUUUACAUGAAGUAAUUUACGAGCAAAGAAGGGUGGGAUAUGAGCGUUCUGGUUAGCCUCAACUCCAUAAAAUCGGCCCUGCGCUACACAGGAAAAAAACGCCCAGCCUGUAACAAUGUUGAUGAAACAAGCUUGAACAAUAUUUUGCUGCCCAUAUUGUUCCUGCUUGUUAACAAUAGUGUUAAGCAUUGUUAAGGCUCAACAAUGCUGAACAACAUUGUUAACAAGCAGGAACAAUAUGGGCAGCAAAAUAUUGUUCAAGCUUGUUUUCAUCAACAUUGUUACAGGCUGGGCGUUUUUUUGCAGUUUACUUGUUCAUCGCGAUGCACUACUUCAUGUCAAUCUUUUAUAUAGUGACUCGUAUGUGAAAUUUUGUUAUAGCGCCUACGGUCUGGGGACGAGGUAGGGAAAUGUCGGAAAUCGAUAAAGGUCAAAUUCCCUUGUAGCGUGGCCCAAGUUAUGUUCAGCGAAAGGUAUGGUUAGUCUAUAUUUUUGUUCAGACAAUUUGAUAAUAUACAAUCUCGCGUAACUUUCAGAGGCCACAAAUCGCUACAAUGUUGAUGACUAAAACUAUUACUGAAUCGAAUGUUGGCAGACACGCAGAUGUUGGCACCUUCUAUUAACCUACGAUGCUUGGGACUGGGCAAGGAAAGAGUUUAAAAUUUAUGAAUUUUUAGCCGUUUACGGCGAACUAGUAGAGUUAAUUUAUAUUUUCUAGUGGUUUGUUUUUAAAAAUGUUGCUGUAUUAUGGCUAGUUUAUACGGUAUCUGGCAUCAAACAACAUUAAAGAAUGAAUAAAGAAAUAUAUGGUCCAAUGGUUG
Paramuricea clavata is the source of this 1088-nucleotide non-coding RNA. NCBI's taxonomy places the organism in Eukaryota, Metazoa, Cnidaria, Anthozoa, Malacalcyonacea, Plexauridae. The record is from the annotation of a GenBank genome assembly.